Molecule: ribosomal RNA, 253 nt
Filed under: uncultured bacterium
Lineage: Bacteria
Description: partial 16S ribosomal RNA
Rfam family: Bacterial small subunit ribosomal RNA
Source: RNAcentral
UACGAAGGGGGCUAGCGUUGUUCGGAAUUACUGGGCGUAAAGCGCGCGCAGGUGGUUUUUCAAGUCAGUGGUGAAAGCCCGGAGCUCAACUCCGGAAAUGCCAUUGAAACUGUGAGACUUGAGGACGAGAGAGGUGAGUGGAAUUCCCAGUGUAGAGGUGAAAUUCGUAGAUAUUGGGAAGAACACCGGUGGCGAAGGCGGCUCACUGGCUCGUAUCUGACGCUCAGGCGCGACAGCGUGGGGAGCAAACAGG